UGCGCAGGCGGGCACUUAAGUCAGUGGUGAAAUACUGCCGCUUAACGGUAGAACUGCCAUUGAUACUGAAUGUCUUGAGUAUGGUUGAGGUAGGCGGAAUGUGUAGUGUAGCGGUGAAAUGCAUAGAUAUUACACAGAACUCCGAUUGCGAAGGCAGCUUACUAAGCCAUAACUGACGCUGAGGCACGAAAGCGUGGGGAGCGAACAGGAUUAGAUACCCUGGUAGUCC
This 229-nucleotide ribosomal RNA is filed under the name uncultured bacterium. Its description in RNAcentral is "partial 16S ribosomal RNA". It matches the Rfam family "Bacterial small subunit ribosomal RNA", at positions 568 to 796 of the family's 1533-position model. The record is from RNAcentral.